RNAcentral lists this transfer RNA (73 nucleotides) under Longimicrobiales bacterium. Its description in RNAcentral is "tRNA-Ala". It matches the Rfam family "tRNA". Rfam says of the family: Transfer RNA (tRNA) molecules are approximately 80 nucleotides in length. Lineage: Bacteria; Pseudomonadati; Gemmatimonadota; Longimicrobiia; Longimicrobiales. RNAcentral also lists the same sequence under 1 other name. The record is from RNAcentral.
GGGGCUGUAGCUCAGCUGGGAGAGCGCCUGAAUGGCAUUCAGGAGGUCACGGGUUCAAGUCCCGUCAGCUCCA